UAUAAUUUUUUGCACUGAAAACUCUUACGAUUUUACGAUUUUGAAGUUGAAUUACACUCGAUUUUAAGAUUUUACAUGUCGAAAACCCUCUUACGAUUUUACGAUUUUAACAACAUUGGCUGGAGGUGUGCUGGCCUCUUUGGUUCUGGUUGGCCCUGUUGCCUGGGGCUGGUGCGGCUGAUGGUCGUCCUUUCGUGCAAUCAGUUGUAUCAAAAUUAUGCUGAUUUUUGCACUUCUUCAGUCCUAGUUACUUCAUUACAGUGCUGAAGAGAGAAAUAAGGAAACGAAGGGACACAAAGAUAGCACUUUUUUGGGGGUGUUGGGGGAUUCAGCUAAACUUAAAAUGAAAGUGAUGUCCUCUUUGCAUUCACCUAUGUUUGUUGUCUUGUUUCUUGUCCCAUGGAAGCUGCAAUUUGUCAUAAAAACUUCUUCUACCUCAUCAGUUGUUCCAUCCUCUCCCAAGCUCCCGAUGCUGCAACAAAUCCUUACCUUUUUUAAUUUAGAAGCCAAUUUGGUGGCUUGAAUAAUUAAUUAACUAUGAGGAAGAAGAUAGAGAGCACAAACAUUAUACCAUGGCCCGGUCCACAUGCUUAUAAAUUUGUUAAUUUCAAAUGUAAAGCUUAUUGUGUUCUUUAUUGUUUGAUUUUCUUUAAGCUUCCACCUCAAUUGUGGGGGUCUGUUAGAGUUAUACAUAGUUUGCUUCUCAUUUA
This is a long non-coding RNA of Diospyros lotus (date-plum), 710 nucleotides long. RefSeq lists it as uncharacterized. Lineage: Eukaryota; Viridiplantae; Streptophyta; Magnoliopsida; Ericales; Ebenaceae. The transcript has 2 exons. The record is from RefSeq and is a predicted model, not a curated record.